CCUACGGGAGGCAGCAGUGGGGGAUAUUGCACAAUGGGGGGAACCCUGAUGCAGCGACGCCGCGUGGGUGAAGAAGCGCCUCGGCGCGUAAAGCCCUGUCAGCAGGGAAGAAAAUGACGGUACCUGACGAAGAACCCCCUGCUAACUUCGGGCCAGCAGCCGCGGUAAUACGUAGGGGGCAAGCGUUAUCCGGAUUUACUGGGUGUAAAGGGGGCGCAGACGGUGGUGCAUGCCAGGAGUGAAAGCCCGGGGACCAACCCCGGGACUGCUUCUGGAACUGCGUGGCUGGAGUGCAGGAGGGGCAGGUGGAAUUCCUGGUGUAGCGGUGAAAUGCGUAGAUAUAAGGAGGAACACCGGUGGCGAAGGCGGCCUGCUGGACUGCAACUGACGUUGAGGCCCGAAAGCGUGGGGAGCAAACAGGAUUAGAUACCCGGGUAGUC
RNAcentral lists this ribosomal RNA (440 nucleotides) under uncultured bacterium. Its description in RNAcentral is "partial 16S ribosomal RNA". It matches the Rfam family "Bacterial small subunit ribosomal RNA", at positions 338 to 795 of the family's 1533-position model. The record is from RNAcentral.